RNAcentral lists this long non-coding RNA (534 nucleotides) under Equus asinus (donkey). Its description in RNAcentral is "lncRNA (ENSEASG00005037847.1)". Lineage: Eukaryota; Metazoa; Chordata; Mammalia; Perissodactyla; Equidae. The record is from RNAcentral.
AAAAGACUCUCAAAUGUGUGAGGAGGUCUCCAUCAGUGAAGCUAUUCAAGAAGAGAGUAGAUGUCACCUGUUGGGUUUUCUAGAACUAUACCACUGUAUUGUCUGUCAGCAAACUGCUUAUUACCCACGUACCCAGAGUAACGGAACUUGCGCCUGAAUGUAAAUUAGCUACAUCACCAUACACACUGCUGAAGUCCAUUGACACUUUUUGUGGCAAGACUUUCUAGAUGGAAGAAAUGGCUGCAUUGAUUUACGAUCUGACAGAAAGAACCUUUAGAAAACAAAUCAAGUGAAACGACAGCUAUGAUGGAAGGCAAUCUAUCCUCGUACUGAGAGUGUGAAUCUGAAGUUGGAGAGGUUUCAGGACCCAGCUGGAGAGAAUCUCUCGUCUUCAACUCACAGAUUGAUCCACGUUUUCUCUUGCUUGAAACCUAAAAGUUAACAGUGACGCCUCAGCCACUGUCAUUGACCUUGAGUUGCAGCCAAGUCAAGUGAAGCCUCACAUGCCGUCAGAGAUGACAUUUUAGGAGGGCC